RNAcentral lists this ribosomal RNA (462 nucleotides) under uncultured bacterium. RNAcentral describes it as "SSU rRNA". It matches the Rfam family "Bacterial small subunit ribosomal RNA", at positions 26 to 518 of the family's 1533-position model. The record is from RNAcentral.
AGAAUCAACGCUGGCGGCGUGCCUAACACAUGCAAGUCGAACGAGAAAGUGGAGCAAUCCAUGAGUAAAGUGGCGCACGGGUGAGUAACACGUGACUAACCUACCCUUGAGUGGGGAAUAACCUAGGGAAACCUGGGCUAAUACCGCAUAACACCUACGGGUCAAAGGAGCAAUUCGCUUAAGGAGGGGUCGCGGCAGAUUAGCUAGUUGGCGGGGUAAUGGCCCACCAAGGCAGUGAUCUGUAUCCGGCCUGAGAGGGCGCGACGGACGACGACUGGAACUGAAACACGGUCCAGACUCCUACGGGAGGCAGCAGUGGGGAAUUUUGCGCAAUGGGGGAAACCCUGACGCAGCAACGCCGCGUGGAGGAUGAAGUCCCUUGGGACGUAAACUCCUUUCGACCGGAAGAUUAUGACGGUACCGGAAGAAGAACGCCCCGGCUAACUUCGUGCCAGCAGCCGC